GAAAAUUUGCUCUUUUAGUAUUUGUCUAGUAGGUUUCCUCAGAGAGGAAGCCCCC
Oncorhynchus mykiss (rainbow trout) is the source of this 55-nucleotide small nuclear RNA. Its record names the gene U7. It matches the Rfam family "U7 small nuclear RNA". From Rfam's summary of the family: Animal histone pre-mRNAs are spliced by a different mechanism than nuclear pre-mRNAs and self-splicing introns. This processing involves the U7 snRNP, which contains only one RNA species: U7. NCBI's taxonomy places the organism in Eukaryota, Metazoa, Chordata, Actinopteri, Salmoniformes, Salmonidae. The record is from Ensembl.